Molecule: ribosomal RNA, 1381 nt
Filed under: uncultured bacterium
Lineage: Bacteria
Description: 16S ribosomal RNA
Rfam family: Bacterial small subunit ribosomal RNA
Source: RNAcentral
AGUUUGAUCCUGGCUCAUGAUAAACGCUGUGCGGCGCACAUAAGACAUGCAAGUCGAACGAACUUAACUCAUUCUUUACGAUUGAGAGCGGUUAGUGGCGGACUGGUGAGUAACACGUAAGCAACCUGCCUAUUAGAGGGGAAUAACAGUGAGAAAUCAUUGCUAAUACCGCAUAUGCUCACAGUACCACAUGGUACAGUGAGGAAAGGAGCAAUCCGCUAAUAGAUGGGCUUGCGUCUGAUUAACUACUUGGUGGGGUAAUGGCCUACCAAGGCGACGAUCAGUAGCCGGACUGAGAGGUUGAACGGCCACAUUGGGACUGAGAUACGGCCCAGACUCCUACGGGAGGCAUCAGUCGGGAAUAUUGCGCAAUGGAGGAAACUCUGACGCAGUGACGCCGCGUAUAGGAAGAAGGUUUUCGGAUUGUAAACUAUUGUCGUUAGGGAACAUACGAGACAGUACCUACGGAGGAAGCCCCGGCUAACUAUGUGCCAGCAGCCGCGGUAAUACAUAGGGGGCAAGCGUUAUCCGGAAUUAUUGGGUGUAAAGGGUGCGUACACGGACAUGCAAGUCGGUUGUGACAUCCCUCGGCUCAACUGAGGAACUGCCAGCAAGACUACAUCCCUUGAGUGUCUGAGGGGAAAGUGGAAUUCNUAGUGUAGCGGUGACACUGCGUAGAUAUUAGGAGGAACACCGGUGGCGAAGGCGACUUUCUGGACGAUAACUGACGUUGAGGCACGAAAGUGUGGGGAGCAAACAGGAUUAGAUACCCUGGUAGUCCACACUGUAAACGAUGGAUACUAGGUGUAGGGUGUAUUAAGCACUCUGUGCCGCCGCAAACGCAUUAAGUAUCCCACCUGGGGAGUACGACCGCAAGGUUGAAACUCAAAGGAAUUGACGGGGGCCCGCACAAGCAGUGGAGUAUGUGGUUUAAUUCGAAGCAACGCGAAGAACCUUACCAGGGCUUGACAUAUACAGGAAUAACUUAGAGAUAGGUUAGCUCUUCGGAGCCUGUAUACAGGUGGCGCAUGGUUGUCGUCAGCUCGUGUCGUGAGAUGUUGGGUUAAGUCCCGCAACGAGCGCAACCCCUAUCGUUAGUUGCUAGCAGGUAAUGCUGAGAACUCUAGCGAGACUGCCGGUGAUAAAUCGGAGGAAGGUGGGGAUGACGUCAAAUCAUCAUGCCCUUUAUGUCCUGGGCUACACACGUACUACAAUGGCCGUAACAGAGGGAAGCAAUAUAGUGAUAUGGAGCAAAACCCUAAAAGCGGUCUCAGUUCGGAUUGAAGGCUGAAAUUCGCCUUCAUGAAGCUGGAAUUGCUAGUAAUGGCAGGUCAGCAUACUGCCGUGAAUACGUUCCCGGGCCUUGUACACACCGCCCGUC